AGUCCAGCGCCUGCAGCGCGUUCCCGGCGAGUCGGAGGCCGGGUGGGGCCCCUGCGUGGGAAGCAGCCGAGGCUGAGGCCGGUCCCUUCGCCGCGGGCUCUGCGGGCGGCCGAGGCCCCCACCCGUCCCGGGAACAGGUAAAGUGAACAGAGUUAUCCGUGACAUUCCAUCAGGCAUCUACGUACGGAAAUCGUACUGUAAAAACUCGACAUGGCUUAUGGAUUGCCAAGAAAGAACACAGUGAAAACCAUUUUGCGGGGCUGUUGUUAUAAUGUACAGGAACCUUGGGAUCUUGCAGUGCUUACAAAGACCUGGUACAUGAACCUAGCCAAUAUCAACUUGCCUUUCUUGGAAGAAAUUUCAUUUGGUGGUUCUGUGCAGCUCACAAAAUGUAACCCUGUUAAAGAUGGACUGCUCCCUUCUGUAGAAUCCAUCAAACUUGAAAGGGAGUAUGAAGUGAAGCGUCUCUGUAAACUUAAAUGUCAAGAAAAUACAUCUGAGGAAAUUCAGCUUCUUCUAAGGGAAAGGCCAGCUGGUUUGAGAAGACCUCUUCCAUCUAAAUUACAGUCCGCUCAUGAUUGAAUCUGUACUCUGUCUCUUGCCUCCAAAGGGAUGAAGGUCUGUGGACCUUUCACUGUGUAGUUUGGGGCAGAUAUUUGAAUGCCCGCUGGCAAUGGGCCACCGCCCACAGCUGUGGGUUGGUGGCCAGCUCUGACAGAUCUUCUGAGUCCCUGACAUACUCUUGUUCCCUGUGUCACAAGUGACAGCACUGCUGGAGUGGAAGUUUCACUGCAACCUCUGCCUCCCAGGUGCAAGCAGUUCUCCUAUCUCAGUCUCCCAAGUGGCUGGGACUACAGGUGUGCACCCCCAUCCCCCCACUGGAUUAUUUUGAAGUAAAUUCUAGAUAGCAUAUUAGUAUAUCUGUAAUUAUAGAAAUGCAUAUUUUAUAAAUGUAGAUUUUUAAUUUUAUAAAAGUAUGGAUUAAUCAAAGCAUACCUGGGGGUCAUAAUCCUUGUAGGCUCAUAGUUUGACCUCAGUUUAGUGAGUUGUCUCUGGUGGUUGCUGCUUUAACAUAUUUAGAAGACAUUAUCUGAAUUACCCUGAUACUUUCUUCCAUCUGUGACAUAUGGCACAAAUGAAGAGCACUUUCUGUCAGGAGUUUUGAUGUGAGUGACUCAUUUGAUUUAGUGAUCCUCAGUCCUGGAAAAAGUUAUCGGGAAUCCAGGCUCUGUAUAUAGUCUUGGCUGCGUGACUUGAAAAGGUGGAACAUUCACAUUCCUUGUCCAAAUAUGCCUCAUAAAAUUUAAUGUGUUCUGUGUAAGACUCUAAUCUGCCAACCAGAAACACUCCCAGAGUUUCUUGGCUGAAAGUCUGGGAGUUGGAGCUUUCACCAAUUACCCAUUCUUUCUUUCCACUUCCUUUACACACCCGUCUUCUCCUAUUUGUUCUUUCUGACACUUUGACAAUUUUUUUCCUCCAUCUCAGCGAUUAUCAUAAAUAUUACAGCUGGGCUGUUAGCUGGGUAAAAUGUGGGAAAAGACCAUUUUAUGAUUAUACAGCCAAAGAUAGUCUUUAGCAGAAAUUUAGUGUGUUUUCAUUUCUUUGGAAAUCAAAACCAAUCCAGUUUUCUUUAAAAAAAUUAACAACCUCCAGCUGUAUCAACACAUGUUUUGGACUGUGACAAGAUUCAUGCUGUAUGUUUAUUUUUGUAGUUCAUAUCCCACUGAGUAGCCUUUCCUUCUAGGGUCACUGUCACUAAUCCAUCUAGUCCCAGGGAUAAUACUUCCAGUAGUUUGUUUGAAAAUGGUAAAUAUCUUAAAAUCUAAAGUCCACAAAUCUACCGCAUAAUGUAUCUGGUAUUGUUGCUGUUAGUUUUAAUUUCUUAAAAAUCAGAUUUAGGUAAGAUAGUAAUAAAGAGAAAACUCUAGGUUUUAGUUGAUCUGGGUUCUAGAUUCUUCCCUAUCCUAAUUAGUUAUAUAUCCAUGAGAAAAUCUUUUAAUUUCAGUGAAACUCAGCUUGUUUCUCUUUUUAAACAUUGCCAGUUAUAAAUGUAUUUUGUUUUAUAUUAUUAUUAUUUAUUAUUAUUUUUUAAAGAUGGGGUUUCACCAUGUUGGUCAGGCUGGUCUUGAACUCCCGACCUCAGGUGAUCAGCCUGCCUUGGCCUCUAAAGUAUAUUAUUUUUAUUUAUUCAUUUUUUUGAGACUGAAUCUCACUCUGUUGCCCAGGCUAGAGUGCAGUGGUGCAAUGUUGGCUCACUGCAACCUCUGCCUCCUGGGUUCAAGUGAUUCCCAUGCCUCAGCCUCCUGAAUAGCUGGGACUACAGGCGCAUGCCACCAUGCCCAGCUAAUUUUUGUAUUUUUAGUAGAGAUGGGGUUUUGCCAUGUUGGCAAGGCUGGCCUUGAAUUCCUGACCUCAGGUGAUCCACCUGCCUCAGCCUCCCAGAGUGCUGGGAUUACAGGCAUUGAGCCACUCUGGCUGGCUUCUAUAAAUGCAUUUUAAAUAAAAACAGUAGUUCCUGAGCUGGUUGUGGAACUACGAUAGGCUUAUGCCUAUAAUUCCAGCACUUUUGAAGAUGGAGGUAGGAAGAUCUCUUGAGGCCAAGAGUUUAAGACCAGUGUGAACCACAGAGUGAAACCCAUCUCUACAAAAACAAAAAAUAUAAAACAAAAACCCCAGCCAGAUAUGGUGACACAUGAGUGUAGUCCCAGCCACUUGGGAGGGUAAGGUGGGAGGAUUCCUUGAGUGCUCAGGAAUUUGAGGUUACAAUGAGCUAUUGCACCACUGCACUCCAGCCUAGGCAACAGAGCAAGACCCUGUCUUCAAAUAAAAUAAAAUAAAAUAAAAUAGGCCAGGCACGGUGGCUCAUGCCUGUAAUCCCAGCGCUUUGGGAGGCUGAGAUGGGUGGAUUGCUUGAGGUCGGGAGUUUGAGACCAUUCUGGCCAACAUGGUGAAACCCUCUCUCUUCUAAAAAUACAAAAAAAUUAGCUGGGUGUGGUGGUGUGUGCCUGUAAUCUCAGCUACUUGGGAGGCUGAGGCAGGGGAAUUGCUUGAACCAGGGAGGUAGAGGUUGCAGUGAGCUGAGAUCACACCACUGCACUCUAGCCUGGGCCACAGAGUAAAACUUCAUCUCAAAAAUAAAUAAAAAUUAAAUAAAAUCAUAGUUUUCUAUACCACCACCACUCAUUUCUACCUUGUAGAGUCAACUAAUUUCACCUCUUUUACCUAGUUUGUUAUUUACCUCCAUGACUCGAAAUAACACAUUGGUAUUACUAUUUCUUUUUUUUUUUUUAAUUUCUAGGCACAAUCUAUUGAAUUUCCAGUAUAGAUGAUAACAGUUACAUUUUCUUUCUUUUUUUUUUUCUUGUCUCACUUUGUUGCCCAGGCUGGCGUGCAAUGGCAUAUCUUGGCUCACUGCAACCUCUGCCUCCUGGGUUCAAGCGAUUUUUCUGCCUCAGCAUCCCUAGUAGCUGGGAUGACAGGCAUGUACCACCAUACCUGGAUAAUUUUUGUAUUUUUGUAGGGAUGGGGUUUCACCAUGUUGGCCAAGCUGGUCUUGAAUUCUUGAUCUCAAGUGAUCCAUCCGCCUCAGCCUCCCAAAGAGCUGGAAUUACAGGCAUGAGCCACCAGGCCUGGCCUAUUUUUUUCUUAACCUUACCACAGAGCCACAGAUGUAGAUGUAUUUCCUUUUUCCUCUAAAUAUAUCCUUAGGUUAUGUUAUAAUUUGUCUUAGAUCAGUAUUAAAUGUUAACAUUAUUGUGACUAUGUAUCUUAGUCCAUUUGGGCUGAUACAACAAAAUACUAUGAACUGGGUAGUUUAUACACAAUAGAAAUGUAUUUUUUACAGUUAUGAAAAUUGGAAAGUCCAAGAUCAAGGAGGCAGCAGAAGCCUGCUGAGGUCCUGUUCCUUAUAGAUAGCUCCUAUCCACGAAGAUAGGAACUCAUGUGAAGACACAGGUAGGGGGCUAUGUACUCAAGUUGGAAGGAACCAUUGCAUGGUGGAAGGGACUAGCUAGCUCCACAGAGCUGCUUUUAUAAGGUCAUUAAUCCCAUUCAUGAGGGCCCCACCUUUGUGACCUAAUCACCUUCCAAAAGGCUCUUAAUAUCAUUACCUUGGGAGUUAAGAUUUCAACAUAGAAUAUUUGGGGGACAUAAACAUUCAUACCACAGCAGUAUGUGAACAUUUCAGAACUGAACUAUGUAGUAAACUAUGAUUAAUUUUUCCUUCCUGUUACUUUCUUUUUGCAGGAUUUACAAAUUUAGUAAUUAGAUUUAGUUAUUGCUUAGUUUCCCAUGUAUUUGUCAUGAAGUAUUUAUUUGUUAACUCCAAGCUCCUUGCCAGUUGUUAGUCCUCUCAAAACAUUCUGAUGUAUUUUAUUAUUUCACCUUCCUGAGAAGUCCCUUAAGAGGUCUCGUCUGGCUGGACUGUUUAUUUCCACACUUAGAGCAAACUUUUAUUCUGUGAUUUUGACAUUAUCCUCCUGGGGAUUCACUUCACUCUCUUCUGUGCAGAUGCCCCUGUUUCUUAUGUGAUCAUCUUCUUUCUUGGUUACUGCUUUAUUUUGGUGUAGCAGCCUCUCCAGUAGUCACCUGAGGUAGGAUAGAUGUCAGGAAAAUUUUUAAGGUCUUCUUGUCUAGAGUCUUAAUUUUACUCUCAAGAUGUAAUUAACAGCUUGACUGGGUAUAGCAUUGUAGGUUGUAAAUAAUAUUCCUACAAAAUUUUGAAGACUUUGUUCAUUUCAUUUUUUUUUUUUUUUUGAGACAGAGUCUCACUCUGUCUCCCAAGCUGGAGUGCAGUGGUGCCAUUUUGGCUCACUGCAGCCUCUGCUUCCUGGGUUCAAGUGAUUCUCCUGCCUCAGUCUCCCAAGUAGCUGGGAUUAUAGGCACGUGUCACCACGCCCAGCUAAUUUUUGUAUUUUUAGUAGAGAUAAGAGUUUUACCAUGUUGGCCAGGCUGAUCUUGAACUCCUAACCUCAGGUGAUCUCCAUGCCUUGGCCUCCCAAAGUGCUGAGAUUAUAGGUAUGAGCCGCCGUGCCUAGCCUGUUCUUUUUAUGUUCUUUUUAGUUUUAUUAUUGUCAGCAUUCUGAAGCCAUCUUUACUCUGGAUCUUUCCUUGAGAUCUGCUUUUUCUCCCUGGAAGAUUAUGGCAGCUUCACCUAGAUCCCAGUAUUCUGAUAGGAAUCAUGAUGUAAGUCUGUUCACAUCCAGUAUGGUACAGUGAUUUAGAGCACUGAGUGUUGGGCAUGGGCCAGCUGGGGUCGAAUGCCAGUUUCAUCACUUACUGUGUUGCCUUGGACAGUUUAUUUUAUUUUUCUCAGCUUUAAUUUCUAUAUCUGUAAAAGGUGGAUAAUGAUGGUUUUGACAAGGAAAUGAGUUAAAUAUAUUAAAGCAGUUAGAACAGUGCCUGGCACAGAGGAAGCCCGAACACCAUUUAUGUUAGCUACUCUUGCCAUUAUCCAUUAUACUUGACAUGCUUCGAACCCUUGCAAUCUAGAAACUCAGGUCCCUCACUUCUAGGAAAUUAUCUCAAAAAUAAACUUAUAUAUAUUUCUGUCUUUUCCUUUUCCCAACACUUUCUAGAAGUACUAUUAUUCAUGUACUGUACUGGUUUUCUAAUUUUUUAUCUUUUAUCUCUUGCUUUUGUUUUUAAUCUCUUUGCCUUUUGCCGCAAUUUGUGGGAGAUCCUCUCAGUUUUCCAACCACCAUAAGUUUUUCUUUUCUACUAUUUCCUUUUCUUUUUCUUGUUUUCUUUUUUUUGAGAUGGAGUCUCACUCUGUAGCCCAGGCUGCAGUGCAGUGGCAUGAUCUUGGCUCACUGCAACCUCUGCCUCCUGGGUCCCAGUUCAAGCAAUUCUCCUACCUCAGCCUCCCAAGUAGCGGGGAUUACAGGCAUUAGCUACCAGGCCCAGCUAAUUUUAUUUUUUUUUUGUAUUUUUUUGUAGAGACGGGGUUUCACCAUGUUGGCCAGUCUGGUCUUAAACUCCUGACCUUGUGAUCCACCCACCUGGGCCUCCCAAAGUGCUGAGAUUACAGGUGUGAGCCACAUAGACCGGCCUCUUUUCUGCUAUUAUAUUCUUAUUUUUUUCUCUGAAUACUUGCCCUUCUCCUUUGUAAAAGGUAAUCUGUUUUAUUCAUAAUUGCUUGUCUUUUCUUAUCUGUGAAGAUACAAAAUAGAUUUCUUCUCACUGCAUUGUAUGUGUUCCCUCAAAGCUGUUUUUCUGCUUAUUUUUGUCUCCAUCUGUCGUGUGAAAAGCUCUUGUAGUAAUCCAGGUGUGACAAAGUACACGCCUUAAGGAAGUGAAGGUGGAGUAGAUGAUGCAGCUCUGACUCAAGAAUUGUGGAAAAAGUAGAAGUCACAGUGUAGCUUAGGGAAAAGGAUGUGAGUGAAUGAAAGGGAGGAACCUAGGAUGACUUCCAGAUUGUGGGCUUGGGCCAUGGGGUAAAUGCUGUCGUCAGAGAUAAUGGGAAAGGAAGAAUUGUCUUAGGCAUGUAGAAUAUUCAUUUUGUUUUAGGUUGGUAUUUGAAGCUCUCAGGAGACACUCGAGUGGAGAUUUCCAAUGGCAGUGGGCUUUACAGAUGUGCUGUUCAGGAAAGGGAAAGUGGAAAGAUGAAAACUGAAGCCAUGGAUGUCUUUGAGCUCAUCUAGGGAGACUAUGCAGAAUAAAAAAGAGACAGUAAACAGCCUAAAACCUUGGCUGGCAGCAUAGAAGAGGCAGAUCUUUAGAAAAAAAUGAACUGGAUAUCUAAACCCCAGGUGAAUUGUGUGCUGUAAUGUUUUGUUUCUUUCAGAUUGAGUCUUGUUCUGUCGCUCAGGCUGGAGUGAGUGGCGUGACCUCAGCUUGCUGCAACCUCUGCCUCCCAUGUUCAAGCGAUUCUCUUGCCUCAGCCUCCUGAGUAGCUGGGACUGCAGGCAUGCACCACCACAUUAGGCUAAUUUUCCUGUUUUUAGUAGAGAAAGAAUUUCACCACGUUGACCAGGCUUGGCUUGAACUCCUAACCUCAAGUAAUCCAUCUGCCUCCCAAAGUGGUGGGAUUACAGGCAUGAGCCACCACACUUGGUCUGGUGCUGUAAUUUUUUAAAAUGAAGAAUAGUUUGGCAUAUACUUUUAAAAAUCAGUUAUUUACUUAGGUUCUUAAGAAAUUCAGAACACCAAUUUAUGAGGAUACAUUCCUUUUUUUCUGAGACAGGGUCUCAUUUUGUUGCCCAGGCUGGAGUGCAGUGGCUUCAUCUUGGCUCACUGCAACUUCUGCCUCCUGGGUCAAGUGAUCCUCCCACCUCAGAAUCUUGAGUAGCUGGGACCACAGGCAUCCAUCACCACACCUGGCUAAUUUUUUCUUCGGUGUUUUUAGUAGAGAUGCUGUUUUGGCACGUUGCCCAGGCUAAUCUCAAACUCCUGAGCUCCCUGCAUCUCCCAGCUUCAGCCUCCCAAAGUGCUGGGACUAUAGGCAUGAGCUGCCACGCCUGGCCUGUGAGGAUAAAUUCCAUUUGUCAGGGCAAACACAGAUCACAGCUAGCCCUGGAGCUGAGGAAUAGCUUUGAUUUUUGGUAAAAUCUAUGAGUUCACAGCUUUCUGGUCAAUUUUGUGCUGCUCUGUACUCUUGUAUUUCUCUUCUUCUGUGUUGAAGAUCUCACCUCCCUGGUGUCUGGGUUUCCGCAGCUGCUGCUUCUUGGAGUAAGCAUCAGUAAGAUGCUUUGGGAUUUUUACAUUGCUGAUAUGAAUUUUGGUUGAGGUGGCAAUGACAGAUUUCUGGUGCGUUCUUUGUAGAGGAUCUUGAUUGACGACCAGAGGUCCAGUCACAAGUAACAAGCCACUAGCCAGGUGCUUUAGGAAAACCACUCUUUUGCCUCUGUGGCGCCCAUUGAGGAUGACCAGAAUGGUCCCGGGAGUGAUGCUGGUUUGCAGUUUUCUUGUGUGCUGACUGAAGGGUUUUUUUCUGUGGCUCAACAGCUUUUGAGGCACAUCUUCAGUAGGAUAACAUCUAGGCAUUUUGCAAUGUUUAACUACCCAGGAACCAUCGUUCUUGUCACCACCAAAUGGUUUUGUAACAGUUGCAAGAAGCUUCUCCUUUUUCAUUUCAACCUUGGAUAUAGCAGCUGAAUAUCUUUCCUUGUACAUGGCAGAUUGGAAAUAUCUGCCAAUUCCUUUGACAAGGACAAGAUUUCAGCUGCAACGGGGCUUCUCCUGCACUUUUUAGCCUUGAAGUUACCCCUUUUCACCUUGCCACCAGCAUCAGCCUUCUUGUCUUCGGGUUUCUUCUCUUUAGGAUCUGGCUUCUCAGCUUUUUCACCCUCCAUCUUGCAAGAUGGGAAAGGGAACUCGGCAUAGAAAUUGAACAGUGAAUGAUUAGAAUAUGGAAUCUUUUUAUUUUCAGUUGACAAAGCAUAUCAAAACUUUAUCCGUGAGAACAUUUUAUCUAAUAACAAAGAAAAAACAGAGGAAAGAAAAAAAUUAGCAAGAGUUUAUUAUAUACUUGAAACUCUUCUAGGUGCUCUAUUUCUAUCCUUUAGUCCUUAUCAUAGCUCUGCAAGGGAGAAAGGGGCAAGAAAGAGCAGAGUUCUAAUAUUAGGAGGAGAAGAAGGUCUGGGGAUGGGGCUGGGCCAGGCUCUUGAUGAGGCAGUACUUACUGUCAACGCCACCAGCAGUUGACAGAGCAGCAAGAAUGGAGGGAAAAGGCUCUCCUUUGCUCACUGUAUGUAUCUCAGGAUCUUGUUUCCACUAGCUAGGACAGAAGUUUCUCUAACCUCUUUUCAUCGUUUUGUUUUAUUUUAUUUUAUUUAGAAACACGGUCUUGGCUAGGUGCAGUAGCUCAUUUUUCUAAUCCCAGCACUUUGGGAGUCCAAGGUGGUGGGAUCUCAAGGUCAGGAGAUUGAGACCAUCCUGGCCAACAUGGUGAAACCCUGUCUCUAUUAAAAUACAAAAAAAAUUAGCUGGGUGUGGUGGCGCAUACCUGUAGUCCCAGCUACUCUGGAGGCUGAGGCAGGAGAAUUGCUUGAACCCGGGCGGCAGAGGUUGCAGUGAGCCAAGAUCGUGCCACUGCACUCCAGCUCUGGCAACAGAGCAAGACUCCAUCUCAAAACAAAACAAAAAAAGAAACACAGUCUUGCUCUGUUGCUCCGGGCUGGAGUGCAGUGGCAUCAUCAUAGCUCACUGCAGCUUCAGGCUUGUGGCCUCAAAUGAUCCUCCUGCUUUGGCCUCCCAAAGUGCUGAGAUUACAGGCAGGAGCCACUGUACAUAAUAACCUCUUUUCAUUGUAGUACUAAGAGCAGUCAUCUUCUUUCCUAUUCCAGUAAAUGGCACCAUUUUUAUUCCAUUGCUUAGGCCAGAAACCCAGGGGGUCAUCUGUGAUUCUUCCGGGUCCUUCACCUCCUCUUUGGUCCAAUCUCUUGGCACAUAUCAUGGGCUCUACCUCCUGAAUGUAUCUCACGUGUAUCAAUUUCUCUCUUACAUCUAUCACCCUCACCCUAGUCUCCAUCAUCUCUUGUUUGGAAUAUGGAGAGGGCCUCUUAUCUGACCUCCUUGCUUCUGUUCUUGACGUUCCUAUUGUCUAUCCUCAACAACCAUGGUGAUAUUUUAAAAAUGGCAAUCAUGUUACUGUCAAGAAGAUCCUGUCACUCCCCUAAGUAAUGCCGUUUCCCAUGGCCUAUCAGGCCCUGUGCUUUCUGACACUUGCCUUGCUCUCUGACCUCAUUCCUCCCACUCAUCACCCAGCCCCACUCGGCUCUAGCACUGAGGCCUGCUUGCUGUCUAGAUACAUUAGACUUGUUCCUGCCUUAGAGUCUUUGUACUUGCUUAUUUUCUCCAACAUUCUUAGCCCUCACAAUUUUGCAGGGCUGCCUCCUGAUUAUUGAGGACUUGGCUCAAAUAACGUCUGCUGAGGGAGGCCUCCUGGGACCUCCCCACCCCCCCCCAGGGAAAUCGGCCUUUCCUUUACUCAGUCACUUGCAGUGACAGCACCUUAUUUUAGUUCCUUUAAAGCACUCAUAUCACUUUUGGCAAUCAUUUAUUUGCUUGAUUUUUUAUUUGCCUGUAUUUCUCUUUGUUUCUAGUGUCUACAAUAAUACCUACCCAGAGUAGUCACUCUAUUACUAUCAGUAUUUGUUGGAUAAAUGAUUGUAUUACUUUAAAAAUUUGUUGAAGCCAGGUGUGGUGGCACGGCCAGUAGUCCCAGCUACUCAAGAAAGAGGCUGAAGUGGAAGGAUCACUUGAGCCCAGGUGUUCAAGGCUGCAGUGAGCUAUAAUCACGUCUUUUUCACUCCAGCUUGGGCAACAGAGUGACACCCUGUCUCUAAUCACUUUUUUAAAAGUAUUGUUGAAAAGGUGCCACUUUUUUUUUUUUUUUUUUUUUUUUGAGACAGGGUCUCACUCCAAUGUCCAGGCUGGAGUGCAGUGGUGCAAUCAUGGCUCACUACAGCCUCAACUUCCUGUACUCAGGUGAUUCUCCCAGCUCAGCCUCCUGAGUAACCGAGACUACAGUUAUGCACCUCCUUGCCUGGCUAAUUUUUUGUAUCUUUAGUAGAGAUAGUGUUUCGACAUGUUGCUCAGGAUGGUCUUGAACUCCUGACUCAAGCUAUUCGCCCAAAGUGCUGGGAUUACAGGUGUGAGCCACCACAAACGACCAAAAGGGACCACUUUUGAAGAACGCUUAAGGGGUUUGAUAUUCUUUGACCCACAUAUUUUUCAGCUUUAUUGAGGUAUAAUUGGCUGUGACAUAAACUGCACCUGUUUAAGGUACACGGUUUGAUGAGUUUUGACAUGUGUCUGCAUCUUUGGGGCACCCUCACAGUCAAGCUAAUAAUGAACAUGCCAUUGGCCUAAAAGUUUUCUUGAGCCUCUUGUAAUUCAUCCCGUCUCAUUGUUCUUCUUCCACCACCAGACUCUGGGCAACCACUGAUAUGUCUGCUUUCUGGCACUAUAAAUUGGUUUGUAUUUUGAUAAUUUUAUAUCAAUAGCAUCAUUCAGUUACUAUAUUUUGGUUUCUUAUGUUCAGCAUAGUUAUUUUAAGAUUCGUCUGUGUUAUUGCAUGAAUGUUCCUUUUUAUUGCUAAGUAGGAUUCUAUUGUCUGGAUGUAUCACACUUUGUUUAUCCAUGAACUUUUUGAUAAACAUUUGGGUUGUUUCCAGUUCUUAGUGCUUACAAAUAAAGCUGCCGUGAAUGUGAGCAUUA
This is a non-coding RNA of Callithrix jacchus (white-tufted-ear marmoset), 11160 nucleotides long. The record is from RefSeq and is a predicted model, not a curated record. NCBI's taxonomy places the organism in Eukaryota, Metazoa, Chordata, Mammalia, Primates, Cebidae.